Molecule: ribosomal RNA, 253 nt
Filed under: uncultured bacterium
Lineage: Bacteria
Description: partial 16S ribosomal RNA
Rfam family: Bacterial small subunit ribosomal RNA
Source: RNAcentral
GACGAAGGGGGCUAGCGUUGUUCGGAAUUACUGGGCGUAAAGCGCGUGUAGGCGGUUGUCCAAGUCGGGUGUGAGAGCCUUGAGCUCAACUCGAGAAAUGCACUCGAUACUGGGCGACUAGAGUGCCGGAGAGGAUAGUGGAAUUCCCAGUGUAGUGGUGAAAUACGUAGAGAUUGGGAAGAACACCAGUGGCGAAGGCGGCUAUCUGGACGGUUACUGACGCUAAGACGCGAAAGCGUGGGGAGCAAACAGG